CUUGGUCAUUUAGAGGAAGUAAAAGUCGUAACAAGGUCUCCGUUGGUGAACCAGCGGAGGGAUCAUUACAGAGUUGCAAAACUCCCUAAACCAUCGCGAACCCACCCCUAAACAGUUGCUUCGGCGGCGCCCGAAGGCCCUCACCGGCCGGAGUGCCCGCCGGGGACCCCCCAAACUCUUGUUUUUAACAAAAUGGCCUCUCUGAGUACUGUACUUUAAUAAGUCAAAACUUUCAACAACGGAUCUCUUGGUUCUGGCAUCGAUGAAGAACGCAGCGAAAUGCGAUAAGUAGUGUGAAUUGCAGAAUUCAGUGAAUCAUCGAAUCUUUGAACGCACAUUGCGCCCCUUGGUAUUCCAUGGGGCAUGCCUGUUCGAGCGUCAUUUGUACCUUCAAGCUCUGCUUGGUGUUGGGUGUUUGUCUCGCCUCUGCGUGUAGACUCGCCUUAAAACAAUUGGCAGCCGGCGUAUUGAUUUCGGAGCGCAGUACAUCUCGCGCUUUGCACUCACAACGACGACGUCCAAAAGUACAUUUUUACACUCUUGACCUCGGAUCAGGUAGGGAUACCCGCUGAACUUAAGCAUAUCAAUAAGCGGAGGAAAAGAAACCAACAGGGAUUGCCCUAGUAACGGCGAGUGAAGCGGCAACAGCUCAAAUUUGAAAUCUGGCGUCUUUGGCGUCCGAGUUGUAAUUUGCAGAGGGCGCUUUGGCAUUGGCAGCGGUCCAAGUUCCUUGGAACAGGACGUCACAGAGGGUGAGAAUCCCGUACGUGGUCGCUAGCCUUUACCGUGUAAAGCCCCUUCGACGAGUCGAGUUGUUUGGGAAU
This 824-nucleotide small RNA is filed under the name uncultured Epicoccum. RNAcentral describes it as "eukaryotic LSU rRNA". The stretch from base 542 to 824 matches the Rfam family "Eukaryotic large subunit ribosomal RNA", at positions 1 to 281 of the family's 3401-position model. The record is from RNAcentral. Lineage: Eukaryota; Fungi; Ascomycota; Dothideomycetes; Pleosporales; Leptosphaeriaceae.